CUCUCUCUUCAUCUUUAUAUGUCUCGCUGCCCACAGCAUCAAUCAUUGCUGCCUAAAAGCUUUCUUCUCGAUACUUCUCCUUUUAUCUGGAAACCGCGAUUACGCAUCGAGAUCUCCGUAUCGCCAUCGCCAACACCAGCUGAUUAUGAGGUUUUUGAAGCCAAAGUCUACUGUUCCAGGAUCUAUCAGUUCAUGGUAUCGUUCCUUCCUUGAUACCAAGCUGGAUAUAUAAUUAUUGAAGCUAUGUUGACUGUUUCCACUAUACAUAAGUGAAGUGAUAUGCUGAUUUGGGAAUGAGGUUGAUACCACCUAACACUCGUCUAAGUGACACAAGUUAGAAGAAAGGACCUCAUAUACUUCAUGUCAUGAAAAGCAUCCACACCUUGCAGUGUAUAUUUAGGAAAUGAAUUUCAUGAUUUUGGAGGUCUCUGAUGUUCAUUCCAGCAAGUUCCUCUCCCAAAAGCUUCCUGCAACCACAACAGAAGAGACAAAUCAUUUCAGAUGAAAGAUGAGAGCAUGACGUGGAUUUUUGGGAACCUGUGUUUCAAGUGGAUCAUGGUGAAUUGUGAUGUCUGCAGCUAGGAAUGGUCUUUCAAUGGUGUAGGGGGAAGAAGUAGAAGAAUAGACACUCAAUAUAGUAAAGCUUCUUCUGGAAGGGGGUAUUAACAUCUGACGAGGGUCAUUCAUUAAUCAUGAGAAUAUGCUUCCUAAUGCUCGAAUAGGGAAAUAACUGCAGGUAGGCAGGUGCGAUGGGUGCAAGUCUUCAGAAGGCGAAACUGAUGACUAGCUUCAGUGAUGCAGAAUUAGUAUAUCUAAUUACCGCCAGGUUUCAGAUUUUCAGGAAAAAGGAGAGGGAAUUAAAAUUGUGAUGGAAACGGAGUAAUUUCAUAGAGGAGAUUCAUGGUUUCUCAUCUUUCUCUCACCAACCAAAUAUGGGGACACAACAAGACUUGUGCGCGGCAGCUGCAUAGAUGCGGCAAGAUCAACACUGUCGGUUGAAUCGACCGGACCGUCUGAUUCACCAUUUUUUUGAUGUAUCAGUAAUAUUAUGUCUACGAAACUUUUGCUUCAAAGCAAAUGAGAUUAUGCGCAUAAAGCAUAAGUUAUGUAGUGUAGUAUUAAUUUCAUAAAUGUCACAUUUUUAAAAGAAAAUAAUGUAAAACUUGAUAGUACAGAUGAAACCUUUUUUUAUAGAAAAAUGACGCUGAUAAAGCAUGAGUAAUAUAAGUGAUAGUACUUCUUUCGUGCCCCGUUAAAUGUCCAUCGGCACGAGUUUUAAGAAAUGUAAAGAAAAGUAGAUUGAAAAAAUUAGUGAAAUAUUAAUCUCAUUUAUAUAUACUUUGUAUUAGUUUUAUAUUGUA
Non-coding RNA from Salvia hispanica, 1361 nucleotides. The record is from RefSeq and is a predicted model, not a curated record. Lineage: Eukaryota; Viridiplantae; Streptophyta; Magnoliopsida; Lamiales; Lamiaceae.